AGAGGCAUAGCUCAGUGGAGGAGCGCUUGCCUAGCAUGUGCAAGGCCCUGGGUUCCAUCCCCAGUGCCACUA
Molecule: non-coding RNA, 72 nt
Organism: Fukomys damarensis (Damara mole-rat)
Lineage: Eukaryota; Metazoa; Chordata; Mammalia; Rodentia; Bathyergidae
Source: Rfam